This 531-nucleotide ribosomal RNA is filed under the name uncultured bacterium. Its description in RNAcentral is "partial 16S ribosomal RNA". It matches the Rfam family "Bacterial small subunit ribosomal RNA", at positions 28 to 523 of the family's 1533-position model. The record is from RNAcentral.
GGUUAACGCUGGCGGUAUGUAUAACACAUGCAAGUCGAACGCACUGACGUCGACAGAAGGUGCUUGCACUGGAAGUUGAUUGACGUGAGUGGCGGACGGGUGAGUAACACGUGAGUAACCUGCCCUUAAGCGGGGGAUAACAUUUGGAAACAGAUGCUAAUACCGCAUAAAAGUUGAGAUCACAUGGUCUUAAUUUGAAAGACGGCCUUUGGCUGUCACUUAAGGAUGGACCCGCGGCGUAUUAGCUAGUUGGUGAGAUAAUAGCCCACCAAGGCGAUGAUACGUAGCCGAAUUGAGAGGGUAAUCGGCCACAUUGGGACUGAGACACGGCCCAAACUCCUACGGGAGGCAGCAGUAGGGAAUCUUCCACAAUGGACGAAAGUCUGAUGGAGCAACGCCGCGUGAGUGAAGAAGGUUUUCGGAUCGUAAAACUCUGUUGUUGGAGAAGAACAGGGACUAGAGUAACUGUUAGUCCUUUGACGGUAUCCAACCAGAAAGCCACGGCUAACUACGUGCCAGCAGCCGCCGUAA